GACAGAGGGUGCAAACGUUGUUCGGAAUUACUGGGCGUAAAGCGCGUGUAGGCGGCAGGGUGUGUCGGAUGUGAAAUCCCGUGGCUCAACCACGGAAGUGCACCCGAAACUACCCAGCUCGAGUCUCGGAGAGGAAGGUGGAAUGCUUGGUGUAGAGGGGAAAUUCGUAGAUAUUCGGAGGAACACCAGUGGCGAAGGCGGCUCACUGGUCCAUUACUGACGCUGAGGUGCGAAAGCGUGGGGAGCAAACAGG
Molecule: ribosomal RNA, 253 nt
Filed under: uncultured bacterium
Lineage: Bacteria
Description: partial 16S ribosomal RNA
Rfam family: Bacterial small subunit ribosomal RNA
Source: RNAcentral